Molecule: ribosomal RNA, 253 nt
Filed under: uncultured bacterium
Lineage: Bacteria
Description: partial 16S ribosomal RNA
Rfam family: Bacterial small subunit ribosomal RNA
Source: RNAcentral
UACGAACUGUGCAAACGUUAUUCGGAAUCACUGGGCUUAAAGGGUGCGUAGGCGGUCUUGAAAGUAGGGUGUGAAAGCCCCCGGCUCAACCGGGGAACUGCGUCCUAAACUGCGAGGCUGGAGUGAGGCAGGGGUGUGUGGAACUUCCAGUGGAGCGGUGAAAUGUGUUGAUAUUGGAAGGAACGCCGGUGGCGAAAGCGACACACUGGGCCUUGUCUGACGCUGAGGCACGAAAGCCAGGGGAGCGAACGGG